RNAcentral lists this ribosomal RNA (253 nucleotides) under uncultured bacterium. Its description in RNAcentral is "partial 16S ribosomal RNA". It matches the Rfam family "Bacterial small subunit ribosomal RNA", at positions 524 to 776 of the family's 1533-position model. The record is from RNAcentral.
UACGUAGGUCCCGAGCGUUAUCCGGAUUUAUUGGGUUUAAAGGGAGCGUAGGUGGAUUGUUAAGUCAGUUGUGAAAGUUUGCGGCUCAACCGUAGAAUUGCAGUUGAAACUGGCAGUCUUGAGUACAGUAGAGGUGGGCGGAAUUCGUGGUGUAGCGGUGAAAUGCUUAGAUAUCACGAAGAACUCCGAUUGCGAAGGCAGCUCACUGGACUGCAACUGACACUGAGGCUCGAAAGUGUGGGUAUCAAACAGG